UACGUAGGGUCCGAGCGUUGUCCGGAAUUACUGGGCGUAAAGAGCUCGUAGGUGGUUUGUCGCGUUGUUCGUGAAAACUCACAGCUCAACUGUGGGCGUGCGGGCGAUACGUGCAGACUUGAGUACUGCAGGGGAGACUGGAAUUCCUGGUGUAGCGGUGGAAUGCGCAGAUAUCAGGAGGACCACCAAUAGCGAAGGCAGCUCGCUGGGACGUUCCUGACACUGAGGCGCGAAAGCGUGGGGAGCGAACAGG
This 253-nucleotide ribosomal RNA is filed under the name uncultured bacterium. RNAcentral describes it as "partial 16S ribosomal RNA". It matches the Rfam family "Bacterial small subunit ribosomal RNA", at positions 524 to 776 of the family's 1533-position model. The record is from RNAcentral.